RNAcentral lists this ribosomal RNA (256 nucleotides) under uncultured bacterium. RNAcentral describes it as "partial 16S ribosomal RNA". It matches the Rfam family "Bacterial small subunit ribosomal RNA", at positions 524 to 776 of the family's 1533-position model. The record is from RNAcentral.
UACGGAGGGUGCGAGCGUUGUCCGGAAUCAUUGGGCGUAAAGGGCGCGUAGGUGGCCACUUCAAGCGUGCGGUGAAAGUCGGGGGCUCAACCCCUGAUCGGCCGUGCGAACUGGGGGGCUGGAGCACUGUAGAGGCAGGCGGAAUUCCGGGUGUAGCGGUGGAAUGCGUAGGGAUCCGGAAGAACACCGGUGGCGAAGGCGGCCUGCUGGGCAGUUUUGCUGACACUGAGGCGCGACAGCGUGGGGAGCAAACAGG